RNAcentral lists this ribosomal RNA (497 nucleotides) under uncultured bacterium. Its description in RNAcentral is "partial 16S ribosomal RNA". It matches the Rfam family "Bacterial small subunit ribosomal RNA", at positions 28 to 507 of the family's 1533-position model. The record is from RNAcentral.
GAUGAACGCUGGCGGCGUGCCUAAUACAUGCAAGUCGAGCGAACAGACGAGAAGCUUGCUCCUCUGAUGUUAGCGGCGGACGGGUGAGUAACACGUGGAUAACCUACCUAUAAGACUGGGAUAACUUCGGGAAACCGGAGCUAAUACCGGAUAAUAUUUUGAACCGCAUGGUUCAAUAGUGAAAGACGGUCUUGCUGUCACUUAUAGAUGGAUCCGCGCUGCAUUAGCUAGUUGGUAAGGUAACGGCUUACCAAGGCAACGAUGCGUAGCCGACCUGAGAGGGUGAUCGGCCACACUGGAACUGAGACACGGUCCAGACUCCUACGGGAGGCAGCAGUAGGGAAUCUUCCGCAAUGGGCGAAAGCCUGACGGAGCAACGCCGCGUGAGUGAUGAAGGUCUUCGGAUCGUAAAACUCUGUUAUUAGGGAAGAACAAAUGUGUAAGUAACUGUGCACAUCUUGACGGUACCUAAUCAGAAAGCCACGGCUAACUACGUG